Mus caroli (Ryukyu mouse) is the source of this 538-nucleotide non-coding RNA. The record is from RefSeq and is a predicted model, not a curated record. Lineage: Eukaryota; Metazoa; Chordata; Mammalia; Rodentia; Muridae.
GGGGGCGCCGGCUGCGGCUGCAGAUGGAGAAGGCGGCGGCGGAGGUACCGACUCGAGCUUGACCAGGGUCAGCGAGAUGAGCUGGAGAACAAGAGGUCACUGAUCUUUAGUGAGUCCUGGGAAUGAACACAUUACCGAGUCCCAGAACCUUCUGCCCCGACAGCUUCCUGUUCUAGACUCCUCAGACAGGGACUCCAUCUAUCGGGUCUGUCUCCCCAGUGUGUGUCCACGCUCUGCUGCCAAGAAGCUCCAUCUCAAGAACUAGGAAGUCAAUGCCUGAACAGCCAGAAACUCUGUUAAGACACGACUAAGCAUUUCCAUGUCCUGUACUGGUCCCCAAAGCAGCCAAGUUAGGGACUGAUGCAUCUCUUACCUCGUAUGCUGUCCAGUGAGGCCUGGAUGCCAGCUUGGAGUUCAGGGUCACUCACUCUCUCUGCCAGCUUCCUGAGUCGGCUCAGAGCUUGCUUGGCCACCUCAUGUCGCCUGACUUCUGCUCUUACUGUGGCUAUAGCCAACUGCCUCUGGGCAUGCAUGUUGC